Molecule: transfer RNA, 78 nt
Filed under: Ailuropoda melanoleuca (giant panda)
Lineage: Eukaryota; Metazoa; Chordata; Mammalia; Carnivora; Ursidae
Rfam family: tRNA
About the family: Transfer RNA (tRNA) molecules are approximately 80 nucleotides in length. Their secondary structure includes four short double-helical elements and three loops (D, anti-codon, and T loops).
Source: Rfam by way of RNAcentral
ACGUGGCUGGCUCAGUCAGUAGAGCAUGAGACUCUUGAUCUGAUCUCAGGGUUGUGAGUUCAAGUCUGAUGUUGGGUG